This is a long non-coding RNA of Dreissena polymorpha, 369 nucleotides long. RefSeq lists it as uncharacterized. The transcript has 5 exons. The record is from RefSeq and is a predicted model, not a curated record. Lineage: Eukaryota; Metazoa; Mollusca; Bivalvia; Myida; Dreissenidae.
CAGCACCAGCUUAAUAAGCCAAACUGUGGAUGAAUGCAAGAAGAAGGUUAGCGACCUGAAGGUGAAGGCCCGUAAAAAAGAAAGAGCCAGGGUGCAGUAUGAGCGGGGCACGGGUGGAGGACCCGCUUCAGAGGAAUUGAGUCCUCUAGAAAAAAAGAUGCUGGAACUCCUUCCUUUGGAAUCGGUACAUGGCCAUGAAGAUGGUUUUGAUACCUUCAAGCCCAGUUCUUCAGCAUCAAUGCAUGGUCUGGGUAACUCAUCCAAGUCUGCAGUAAUUGAAUACAAGGUUGAUGACAGCACGCCUGAGCUCAGUGAUAUUCAGUGUCAGCAAAGUCAGAAAGCUGCCAGUGUGAGUUCCACACCAAGAAA